This 325-nucleotide ribosomal RNA is filed under the name uncultured eukaryote. RNAcentral describes it as "partial 18S ribosomal RNA". It matches the Rfam family "Eukaryotic small subunit ribosomal RNA", at positions 1470 to 1796 of the family's 1831-position model. The record is from RNAcentral.
CCCUUAGAUGUUCUGGGCUGCACGCGCGCUACACUGAUGCGCUCAACGAGUUUAUGACCUUGCCCGGAAGGGUUGGGUAAUCUUCUUAAAACGCAUCGUGAUGGGGAUAGAUUAUUGCAAUUAUUAAUCUUCAACGAGGAAUUCCUAGUAAGCGCGAGUCAUCAGCUCGUGCUGAUUACGUCCCUGCCCUUUGUACACACCGCCCGUCGCUCCUACCGAUUGAGUGGUCCGGUGAAUAAUUCGGACUGCAGCAGUGUUCGGUCACGAACGUUGCAGCGGAAAGUUUAGUGAACCUUAUCACUUAGAGGAAGGAGAAGUCGUAACA